Molecule: ribosomal RNA, 471 nt
Filed under: uncultured Acaulospora
Lineage: Eukaryota; Fungi; Glomeromycota; Glomeromycetes; Diversisporales; Acaulosporaceae
Description: SSU rRNA
Rfam family: Eukaryotic small subunit ribosomal RNA
Source: RNAcentral
AGCAGCCGCGGUAAUUCCAGCUCCAAUAGCGUAUAUUAAAGUUGUUGCAGUUAAAAAGCUCGUAGUUGAAUUUCGGGAUUCAUCCGUUGGUCGGGCUUCACGGUCCGUACUGGUGUGAUGGGUUCCUACCUUCUGAAUAACCGGCAUGCCAUUAAUUUGGUGCGCCGGGGAAGCAGAACUAUUACCUUGAAAAAAUUAGAGUGCUUAAAGCAGGCAAGUGCCUGAAUAGGUUAGCAUGGAAUAAUAAAAUAGGACGGCAUGGUUCUAUUUUGUUGGUUUCUAGGAUCACCGUAAUGAUUAAUAGGGAUAGUUGGGGGCAUUAGUAUUCAAUUGUCAGAGGUGAAAUUCUUGGAUUUAUUGAAGACUAACUUCUGCGAAAGCAUUUGCCAAGGAUGUUUUCAUUAAUCAAGAACGAAAGUUAGGGGAUCGAAGACGAUCAGAUACCGUCGUAGUCUUAACCAUAAACUAUGC